Molecule: non-coding RNA, 125 nt
Organism: Brassica napus (rape)
Lineage: Eukaryota; Viridiplantae; Streptophyta; Magnoliopsida; Brassicales; Brassicaceae
Source: Rfam
GGAAUAUAAGAACCUGACUCUUAAGUUUUAACUAAAAAAACUUAAAAUUAGCUCUUAAAUAAAAGUUUUAAGAGACGGUUCUUAGUUUUUUUAAUUAAAAAUUAAGAGAUGAAUUCUUAUAUUUC